Molecule: ribosomal RNA, 253 nt
Filed under: uncultured bacterium
Lineage: Bacteria
Description: partial 16S ribosomal RNA
Rfam family: Bacterial small subunit ribosomal RNA
Source: RNAcentral
UACGAAGGGGGCUAGCGUUGCUCGGAAUGACUGGGCGUAAAGGGCGCGUAGGCGGUUUGGUUAGUUAGGCGUGAAAUUCCUGGGCUCAACCUGGGGAUUGCGCUUAAUACAGCCAGGCUAGAGUGUGGAAGAGGGUCGUGGAAUUCCCAGUGUAGAGGUGAAAUUCGUAGAUAUUGGGAAGAACACCGGUGGCGAAGGCGGCGACCUGGUCCAGUACUGACGCUGAGGCGCGAAAGCUUGUGGAGCAAACAGG